GGUUGUAUAGUGUAGCGGUUAUCACUCCGGAUUCUGAUUCCGGCAACCCCGGUUCGAUUCCGGGUACGACCU
This 72-nucleotide transfer RNA is filed under the name Neurospora crassa. RNAcentral describes it as "tRNA-Gln (CTG) (tRNA-Gln-CTG-2 1 to 9)". It matches the Rfam family "tRNA". Rfam says of the family: Transfer RNA (tRNA) molecules are approximately 80 nucleotides in length. The record is from RNAcentral. Lineage: Eukaryota; Fungi; Ascomycota; Sordariomycetes; Sordariales; Sordariaceae. RNAcentral also lists the same sequence under 9 other names.